CAUGGGACCUUUAAAGGCCACCAGGAUGAGACAAGAAGUCCAGAACGUUGCUUUCGGCCUUAUAUAAUGGAUGUCUUGAACUAGGCACCUCAAUCUGCGUAGUGUCUGCCCUGAAAGCCUGCAAUUUCUCAGCUGCUAGCCUUCCAAAGCUGUCUCUCCAUACAAAAGGCAUUCCAAUGGAGCAGAGCUUGUUUCUUGGUAAUCAAAGGCCACGUCUGAUUCAGGUCUGGCUGCUUACAUUCUGUGUUCUGCUUUUGCUCAGGACUGGUGACGCUGUGAAAUGCAGACUGUGCUCUUCAAAGGGGCCUGGCAAGCCAUGCGAACCGAAGGAGAAGACAUGUAUGGGACCAUUCUGCCUGAAGAUAGAAAUAUUUUCAGGACAAAAUGGCAAAUUGACUAAUUACGUCAAAGAAUGUGGUGAAGACAGUUCGAAAAAACUCUGUGGGACAGAGGUGACAUCGGGAGAUAAAAAGAAAGUAUCAUGCUGUAAUAGCGACUUAUGUUUUGACUGAUCUUACUAUUCUAUUCUAAAGUUGUUUUCGCCUAUCCAUGUAAAAGGGUGGAUAACGAAUCUUUCCCCUUUGAUAGACAUAAUAUUAGAACGUUUCAUAUCAUUUCCUUUCGAUGGAGCCCAGGUCUUCCUCCUGGCAUUGCAAUUCAAAUGACAGACAAAAGCCCCAUGCAGACAUUCUGAUGCCACGUCUAAUAAUUCAGGGAAUGUUCCACACCCAACAGCCUCCCGUGCUCACUCAUUUAUGCACUCCUUCACUGUCUGAUAUUUUGAAAAGUAAGUUCCUCUUGCAAAAGUGCAUAAUUGACUUGGGUAUUGGGGUGGAAUGGGUCAUUUCUUGGAGAGUUGAUGGACAUGUACCAAGCAGUGAUUUGCACUGUCUAUAGGAUUUGUGGGUCUCUUUAUCACUCCCCAUCCCUGCUUGAACUUGGCAAAUCACAGAAGAUGUUAUCAACUACAAUAACCUGUGCUAGGGAUGGUGACAAUUCCUGUCUUCCUGGAGCUCAUGGAACCCUGUUCUUCCCAACAUCUCCUUGGUUGGAGAGUUUGAAUGUUUUCUGUUCUCUUUCUUGAACAUUGCAAUGAAACUGGAAUGUAGGAAAGCUUUUAAGUAGUUUGGACUGGUGG
Molecule: non-coding RNA, 1138 nt
Organism: Podarcis muralis (Common wall lizard)
Lineage: Eukaryota; Metazoa; Chordata; Lepidosauria; Squamata; Lacertidae
Source: RefSeq, a predicted model, not a curated record